UUUAUAUAAGAGAGAAUAGUAUUGACACAAUUUAAAAUAAUUUACGUAUCGAACUAAUAGCAAAAAAUUUUGAAGUGAAUUUUCACGAUUUAAUAGUAAACACAUGUUUUGGCUUUUGGACUUGUAAUAUUGGUAUCCCAAAGUAAUUUAAGAUGAGCAUGACAAUGGAAUGCUGAUGUAGGCCUUGCCUGAAUGAUUUGGAGGACGAUACAGCUGAUUAAAGCAGCAGCAGGAGCAAUAAUUCCCAGUGCUCCAAUAGAAAGGGACUGGAAGCAACGGGAACAGGGAAGAAACAAAGUUGCUUGAAUAAAACAAAAUGCGAACUAUUUUCUGAGCAUCUGAUUGAGUUGAAAGCAUAUCACCAAAGCUUCUAAAGCUAAACAUUUCAAUCAAAUACUACUUAUCAAGCUAAUAUCAUAUUCAGUUUAUUGGCGCAGAGAGGAUACACGCAGGCUUCCUGUCCACCAUGCAAGCAAUUCUUGAUCUUUGAUUUGAUCACAUUAGGCCCACAACAGUUCAGUUGGACGCAGUCUUUGCAGAUGACUCCAGGGAUGCCAAGCCUUUAUAUAUCAAGUCUUUGCAGGCCUUCCCAAUAUUUCUUCAAUUCUCACACCCAUUUUUCUAUAUGAAGACUUAACGGUAUCUCCAUAAAAUCUCUUAAUUUUUUAACUGACAAAUCAAUAAAGUCAUUCCAGAAAAAGUAUGGACAGAGAUGAUUAGCUAGCACUUGUAAAUUGCAGGAUGACAUCCAUCUCUGCUCAUAUACAAAAGAUCACCAACAGGCAAUCUAUCCAAAACAUUACACACUUUAACCAGAAAAUGAGAGUUAUUGCCUGGUCAAUGCAAAUUUUUUUUCUCAGCUGCCAAACACCUCGGGAAAUUUGAAAUCAUGCUAUCUCAAGAUUGGGAAGUGUUUAAAACCAGCCCUUUCAAUGCGGGCAUUAGAUUCUCUAGGAACUCUCUUUUACUCAAAAUUCUAUCAGAUGUACAGUCUUCUUCAUCACCAGUUGCAACAGAAACAAGAGAUAAAAGUGUCACUGUUGCAGUUUGGUAAUCAGUCAAGAUCUUAUAUGCUGAAUCAUCUAGUUUGUCCUUCAAUCGAGACACAGCAAUAGAAAUGGCCCUUCCGGGGGCUUGAAGGGCUUUACUGCAAACCUGAAUAUAGAGUAGGGAAACAACUUUAGGCAGAAGAGUCACUGGAUCAGUUUCAGCAGAAACUUGAGCUGACAAAUCCUUGCGAUAUGAAUGCAGAAGACUUCUUUCCAAUUUUUUGUCAAGCUUCUUCAACAGUAAGCCACUUUCCUCUGCCAUUUCUCUCAGUGAAGUCAUGAAUGCUUCUACCCGCUUCCCUUCCAAAGCUUCCACAACUGCAAGAGCUUUCUUUGUAAGGGAUCCUGGAAAACUUUUGGCAAGAGCAAUUCUUUCUGCAGAAUUAAGAGUGAUAGAUUCUAAACUCUGAGACUCUUCGACUUCAAUUCCAUUCUUCAAUUUGUUGUGCAUGUCCAAGUUAUGAAAGAGCACAUCUGCAAUAGAAGCAGCUAUUGUUCUUAAUAAAUGCCUGUGCAAAACAACUGAAGUUGAUUGGUCAUCUUCAAACAAAUCUAGUGCUUUUUCAUACAGCUGCAUAUUUAAGAAAGACUCAUCAAGCCUCUUUUGCAGAUUAUCAAGCAACCAUUUCAUUUUCUCAGUAUUCUCUGUAAAUAACGCCUUCCUUCUCUCUUUCAAAUAAUUAAUAAGCAUAGGCCUCAUAUAGUUAGAUAACGGUCUAAGUAUUAUCUGCAGAUCUUCUACACCUUGCUCUUCAAAAUCAGGAACCAGAGUGAGGAUCUUUUGCGUUACCCACUCUUCUGAAGGAACAUUAAUUUUGUCAUCUUUAGCUAAAUCCUUUUUAGCUCCUGUUUUGGUAUCUGACACUUGAUUAGAAGAUGCAUCCUUGCCUUUCCUUUGGUUUUUCUUAGAUUUUGCAGGAACGUAGUCAUCAUCAUCAGGAAUGCUUUCAGCUGUUUUUGUUCCAGCAGAUUUUCCCUUUUUCUUCUUUUUCUCAUUAACAGUGUUGCUUACCUCACUAGAUUUGCUGGAAUCAUUUCUAACUUUAACUUCCUUAACCAAGUUUGAGUCAUCGCUCAGCACAACACCAGAAGACCCUGAAAGACUAAAGGCAUCCAUCUCUUUUUCCAUGCAAUCAUAAAUGGACUUGACGAAACCAUUACUGAAUACAUAUGACUCUCCCAGGAUGAGUGCUUUAUUACCCUGAAGGGAAACAGAAAGCAACUAAACUGAAUAAAUAAUUCACCUGAUUUAGUAAAUGAACAAUUAUGGACAUAGAAAAAUUUCACCUUGAGGGCUAAUUGAACAGAAGGACAAAGUGACAAAAUCUUAGACGCAUCUUGUGAUCCGAAGGAUGCAGGUAAUAUAGAAAGAGAAUCAAUCCAGCUACCACGCUCAAUCGCAUCCUCAACAGCAGAAUCCAACAUCUCAAUCAAGGAGGGGUGAGCAAAUGCAGUAAUCAUAGGAAGACCUUCAGGAUACCUGGACUAAAUUGAAGUGGAGGACCACCAUUUUAAUCAUACAAUCAGAGAAGAAUUGUCAAGUAAACAGUCAUGCUUCACAUAAAUCCAAUGACCUUAGAAGGAAAAAGAAUCCAAACUUCAGAAAUAUAAAAUCAACAUGAUCUCAAUAAAAUACCAGCAAGAACUGAACAGGCUGGGAAAUUCCAAGUUUGUUCAGAGUGUCAUAACUGAUAAAAGAAUUCUGUGAAAAGAAGGAAUCUACACACUCCUUUUGAGCAGUUGCAAAGACAGUUGGGGUCCAAUGAACUCCUGCACGGAGUGAUCCAAGAACCUCGCCUUCCUUCACUAAUCCAUUAAAAAUGGACUGAAAAAAUGAACUUUCAACAGCGACACCACUGGCUCCAUCCAUUUCAUGCAACAACUGCUGUAAAGUUCCCCAUAAGACUGACAAAUUUGUAGGAACUGUGAUACCCCUCGCAGCACCACGAACCAUGGCACUAACACGAGCAACAUAAGCUGGUGUAUACAACUGCCCGCCUUCAAGCCUACCUUUCACCAAAGUUCCAAGGCGGGCUUCCAGCAUAGAAGCCACGAAUUCUGAUCCAACAUUCAACUGCGUAGCAAGUUCUGCCAAAGCAAUUUGACUACACUCUUGAAGCCUCUCGUUGAUUUCUUCUGCAACGUUAUCCCAAUAAGACUCUGAUAUAAUUUCUCCUUGAAUCAGCAUAAGCCCCGGAUUUUCUGAAACUACUUGUUGAGCUUGCUUUUCAACAUGAUAUAAAUCAACGCCAGUAACAUCUGCAAGAUCUAUCAAUGAAACACGCCCAGAUUUAUUGAUCUCCGCCGCCAUCUCAUGCCUGAGUUGCUCGGGAGUGAUAUAUUCUUUGCCGGAGACGGUGUGAAGAAGGUCGAAAUCGAUGAUGUGAAGCUCCUGAAGCUUUUGAACCAAUUCGACGACGUUUCUAUCAGAUAAUCGGAUGCUCGAUUUCGCUUGCUGCGCGAACUCGAAUUGCCUCUGCAAUUCCAGCAAUUCAGCGUCCAUAUUUGAGCCCUCUCGCUUCUUCAAUUCUUGUUUGAUCAAAGACGCAGAGAUUUUCUGCGUCGUUUACAGUGCCUUCAAACUUUGAUCCCAAAGUGAUGAAAUGAACAUUGAGCUCGGACUCGGAGCAGUUCUCACUGCAAGCAAUUAAUGGGCCACAAUCUUCG
Molecule: unclassified non-coding RNA, 3716 nt
Filed under: Hevea brasiliensis (rubber tree)
Lineage: Eukaryota; Viridiplantae; Streptophyta; Magnoliopsida; Malpighiales; Euphorbiaceae
Source: RNAcentral